UGGGGAUUGAACCCCAGUCUACAGCGUAGAAGGCAGAGGUGUUAACCACUACACUAACCAACCACCAGUAUACACUACACUACCCCUCCUCCUAGCAGUGCUGUGUCUCUUCAGUACACUAACAGAACUUGCUAUAGGAACAUCCUGGGAAUUUUAGUAAACUUAACAAACAUAACCUUCUAGUGUCUCUUAAAACAUCUUAAAAUUCAAUUAAACAUAAAUAGUCCUUCUUCUUCUUUUUUUUUUAGGUCUUGUAUCUUGCAGGUUUGUGAACUUCCCGCCCCCUUAAUGUCUUUACUGUUUAAGGUCCCAUUUUCAUAGAAUUGCUGUCCUGUUGAGCUGCUUGAUUUUCUCUUGUCCAGAGGUCUGACCAUCCUUUAAAUCUUCUGCCCCUUGCUUUUGUCCCUGUGUCUCAGGUUGUGUCAUCUGCUUUUCGGCUUCCAGAUAAUCUGAGAUCAUUUCAGGAUAGCUGCUGGCAGGUUGCUGGUCUGUUCCAUGGUGCAAAUCAAGUUGUAUGCCGGUAUUUGUGGGAACUGCACUGCAUUGUAGGGUUUCAUUUCUCCAGCGUAGGAUCCAUGCUGGUAUCACCUCACUGUUAUAAGGCUUGAGGCGAUCAUGAUGCGUAACCUUUCUGUGUCACAUUUCUUGAACUUCAUAGAGUACAGGGCCAUAAUAUGCAGAGACCACACAUGGUCCCUUCCAGGGGGCCUGCAGUUUUGGACUCUGACCUCUCUGUGUACUGGUAUCCCUCAGAUAGACAAGAUCUCCUACAUUGAAAACCUUUUCUUGUGUCCUCAAGUCAUACACUUUCUUUUGUCGCUGUUGUGCCACUCUGAGAUGUUCCUGGGCAGCAUUGUGGGCCUCCUUCAUUCCCUCUUCCAGAUGAUGGAGAAACUCUGGGACUUCCGUAGUGAUAGAUUUCGGCUCUGCAACACCGGACCAGAUAACUUGAGCUCUGACAGACUCUGCCUGGAGGUGUGAGUACCCCGCUGAGACUCAUGGGAGGCUGGGCCAUUGCCAUGACGCCCACACAGCUGCUUACAGAGCCGGCUCACCCACAGAGGGACUGUUGUGACCCUUCAAGACGGGACGUCCCAGCCCAGAACUGACCCGCUCUAUGUAGAGUGAGUGUGGAUGGGUCUAUGUGAGACAGACAUUCUUGGGAGAUGGAAUGUUGGAAAUGGAAAAUAAGUGUUGUCUGUAUGAAUGUUUUGAGAGUGGCAAGUUUGUGUGUGUGUGUUUGUGUGUGCGUGUUUAAGCCUCCAACCCUUCUUGUCGACAGACGCUGCAGUAUUUCGGUGCUGCGAAAUGAAAGCCAGCCACCAGAGAGUGUUAGUCUGGGGAGAGCCGUCUUCUUCUCAGUCUCUCCCCAAAUAAAUAAGAAUUUUUGAUUACAGUAACAGGCCCAUGAAUUAUGCAGAUGUGGGGAUGAUGCAGUGGAGAUGAAAGAUGGGCUCUUUAACCUUUCACUGCGGCACCACUGCCACUGCUAUGAACUAGACAGAGCCGUCUCCUUCCGCCACUGCUGUCUGGCCAUGGGUGGAUCUCCAGACAGAGAAUUGGGAAGAAGGGGGAGGGGGGUCCUGUACUUUGUCAUUCAUUUUCCAUUUAGAAUGUCCUGCCAACAUCUUACAGUAAUAAAAGGACCUAGCAUGGUUUUAA
Pygocentrus nattereri (red-bellied piranha) is the source of this 1662-nucleotide long non-coding RNA. RefSeq lists it as uncharacterized. The record is from RefSeq and is a predicted model, not a curated record. The transcript is spliced from 2 exons. NCBI's taxonomy places the organism in Eukaryota, Metazoa, Chordata, Actinopteri, Characiformes, Serrasalmidae.